This 488-nucleotide ribosomal RNA is filed under the name uncultured bacterium. RNAcentral describes it as "partial 16S ribosomal RNA". It matches the Rfam family "Bacterial small subunit ribosomal RNA", at positions 30 to 507 of the family's 1533-position model. The record is from RNAcentral.
UGAACGCUGGCGGCAGGCCUAACACAUGCAAGUCGAACGGUAACAGGAAGCAGCUUGGUGCUUCGCUGACGAGUGGCGGACGGGUGAGUAAUGUCUGGGAAACUGCCUGAUGGAGGGGGAUAACUACUGGAAACGGUAGCUAAUACCGCAUAACGUCGCAAGACCAAAGAGGGGGACCUUAGGGCCUCUUGCCAUCGGAUGUGCCCAGAUGGGAUUAGCUAGUAGGUGGGGUAACGGCUCACCUAGGCGACGAUCCCUAGCUGGUCUGAGAGGAUGACCAGCCACACUGGAACUGAGACACGGUCCAGACUCCUACGGGAGGCAGCAGUGGGGAAUAUUGCACAAUGGGCGCAAGCCUGAUGCAGCCAUGCCGCGUGUAUGAAGAAGGCCUUCGGGUUGUAAAGUACUUUCAGCGGGGAGGAAGGGAGUAAAGUUAAUACCUUUGCUCAUUGACGUUACCCGCAGAAGAAGCACCGGCUAACUCCGUG